AGCCCUGUGGUGUAAUUGGCAACAUAACGCCCUUUGAAGGCGAUGAUUCCAGGUUCGAGUCCUGGUGGGGCUG
Molecule: transfer RNA, 73 nt
Filed under: Kamptonema sp. FACHB-857
Lineage: Bacteria; Bacillati; Cyanobacteriota; Cyanophyceae; Oscillatoriales; Microcoleaceae
Also listed under: 1 other name
Description: Nostoc sp. FACHB-857 tRNA-Gln
Rfam family: tRNA
About the family: Transfer RNA (tRNA) molecules are approximately 80 nucleotides in length. Their secondary structure includes four short double-helical elements and three loops (D, anti-codon, and T loops). Further hydrogen bonds mediate the characteristic L-shaped molecular structure. tRNAs have two regions of fundamental functional importance: the anti-codon, which is responsible for specific mRNA codon recognition, and the 3' end, to which the tRNAs corresponding amino acid is attached (by aminoacyl-tRNA synthetases). tRNAs cope with the degeneracy of the genetic code in two manners: having more than one tRNA (with a specific anti-codon) for a particular amino acid; and 'wobble' base-pairing, i.e. permitting non-standard base-pairing at the 3rd anti-codon position.
Source: RNAcentral